Molecule: ribosomal RNA, 495 nt
Filed under: Triticum aestivum (bread wheat)
Lineage: Eukaryota; Viridiplantae; Streptophyta; Magnoliopsida; Poales; Poaceae
Description: partial small subunit ribosomal RNA
Source: RNAcentral
AUGCCCAGGUCAGCUCUUUGGCAACCUCCGCCACUGGAUCACGUGAAGUUUAAUGUUGAUGCCGCUGUUUCAAGUGGAAAAUUUGGUGCAGUUGGAGUAAUAUGUAGGGAUGUGGCUGGCACUUUCCUGGGUGCCUCUUCUCUUACUUUCCAACACAUAUUUGAUCCUGUUGCAUUGGAAGCAUUGGCGGUAAGAGAGGCACUGGCGCUCGCGGAGGAUUUAUAUGUGCAUAAGAUACAAGUGGCGUCUGAUUGCAAGAUCGUGGUGGAUGAAAUCAAGCAAGGUACAUCGUCGAAUCAUGCAGCAAUCGUACAUGAAAUCAUAGAGAGAUCGAAUGCUUUUAUUGCUUGUAAUUUUGUCCAUGAAUUUAGGAGCUCAAAUUUUGAGGCUCACAAUCUUGAUAGGUAUGCACUUUCGCUCGGGUUAGGCCGCCGUGUCUGGUUAGGCCUCCCCGGAGAUUUGAAUUUUAUCCCUGUAAAUAUUGUGACAAUUUAA